AUGGUGGUGUCAUUCUGCUAUCAAAUAUAGUUGCAUACAACAAACUUAUGGGGGACACAAGAAAUAUAUACCUGUUGUAACAUCUCAUAAUGAACCAAGUUCAUAUGAGAAGUGAUGUGAGCAUGGACAUGAACCAGAAAGAGAAGGCCCAAUCCAAAGAAAGAGGAGGAAAUAGUCCAAAAAGGAGAUCUUAUGGCCAAC
RNAcentral lists this long non-coding RNA (201 nucleotides) under Carica papaya (papaya). Its description in RNAcentral is "long non-coding RNA (CPAP_LNC004109)". The record is from RNAcentral. Lineage: Eukaryota; Viridiplantae; Streptophyta; Magnoliopsida; Brassicales; Caricaceae.